AACCUAUGCUGGCGGCACGCCUAACACAUGCAAGUCGAACGAAGUAGCUAUACUUAGUGGCAGACGGGUGAGUAACAUGUAGGUAUCUGCCCUUUGGCCUGGAAUAACACGAGGAAACUUGUGCUAAUACCGGAUAAGUCUUUACGGAGAAAGCUUUAUGCACCAUUGGAUGAGCCUGCACUUGAUUAGUUUGUUGGUGGGGUAAUGGCCUACCAAGACUGUGAUCAAUAGCUGAUUUGAGAGGAUGAUCAGCCACAUUGGGACUGAGACACGGCCCAAACUCCUACGGGAGGCAGCAGUGGGGAAUCUUGCACAAUGGAGGAAACUCUGAUGCAGCGAUGCCGCGUGAGUGAAGAAGGCCCUUGGGUUGUAAAGCUCUUUCGUCGGGGAAGAAAAUGACUGUACCCGAAUAAGAAGGUCCGGCUAACUUCGUGCCAGCAGCCGCGGUAAUACGAAGGGACCUAGCGUAGUUCGGAAUUACUGGGCUUAAAGAGUUCGUAGGUGGUUGAAAAAGUUAGUGGUGAAAUCCCAGAGCUUAACUCUGGAACUGCCAUUAAAACUUUUCAGCUAGAGUAUGAUAGAGGAAAGCAGAAUUUCUAGUGUAGAGGUGAAAUUCGUAGAUAUUAGAAAGAAUACCAAUUGCGAAGGCAGCUUUCUGGAUCAUUACUGACACUGAGGAACGAAAGCAUGGGUAGCGAAGAGGAUUAGAUACCCUCGUAGUCCAUGCCGUAAACGAUGUGUGUUAGACGUUGGAAAUUUAUUUUCAGUGUCGCAGGGAAACCGAUAAACACACCGCCUGGGGAGUACGACCGCAAGGUUAAAACUCAAAUGAAUUGACGGGGACCCGCACAAGUAGUGGAGCAUGUGGUUUAAUUCGAAGAUACGCGCAGAACCUUACCAACACUUGACAUGUUCGUCGCGACUCUAAGAGAUUAGAGUUUUCGGUUCGGCCGGACGAAACACAGGUGCUGCAUGGCUGUCGUCAGCUCGUGUCGUGAGAUGUUGGGUUAAGUCCCGCAACGAGCGCAACCCUCACUUUUAGUUGCCAUCAUUAAGUUGGGCACUCUGAAAGAACUGCCAGUGAUAAGCUGGAGGAAGGUGGGGAUGACGUCAAGUCCUCAUGGCCCUUACGUGUUGGGCUACACACGUGCUACAAUGGUAUCUACAACAGGAAGCAAGACUGCGAAGUUAAGCAAAUCCCUAAAAGAUACCUCAGUUCGGAUUGCACUCUGCAACUCGAGUGCAUGAAGCUGGAAUUACUAGUAAUCGUGGAUCAGCGUGCCACGGUGAAUGCGUUCCCGGGUCU
This 1306-nucleotide ribosomal RNA is filed under the name uncultured bacterium. RNAcentral describes it as "bacterial SSU rRNA". It matches the Rfam family "Bacterial small subunit ribosomal RNA", at positions 28 to 1381 of the family's 1533-position model. The record is from RNAcentral.